AACACACACACAAACAAUACCUCUUUGCUGAAACCAGUUAAUUUUGAGUGUCCACUUUGACACUUCCACCAAAUACUCUAUCGCAUGCCACAUUAUUUUCUUCUUACAGAGUGGUCCUGUCCUUCGUGACCCAUCUACCUGUUGCACUGCUCCAGCUACACUACAUGUUAUUAACACUUCCACGAUGAUUUACAAAGAUUAAUGAGGAAUUGGAAAUAUUUACUCAUGAAAAA
Non-coding RNA from Cicer arietinum (chickpea), 233 nucleotides. The record is from RefSeq and is a predicted model, not a curated record. NCBI's taxonomy places the organism in Eukaryota, Viridiplantae, Streptophyta, Magnoliopsida, Fabales, Fabaceae.